CGCGGGGUAGAGCAGUCUGGUAGCUCGUCGGGCUCAUAACCCGAAGGACAAUGGUUCAAAUCCAUUCCCCGCUA
Molecule: transfer RNA, 74 nt
Filed under: Schimmelmannia schousboei
Lineage: Eukaryota; Rhodophyta; Florideophyceae; Acrosymphytales; Schimmelmanniaceae
Also listed under: 1 other name
Description: tRNA-Met
Rfam family: tRNA
About the family: Transfer RNA (tRNA) molecules are approximately 80 nucleotides in length.
Source: RNAcentral